Molecule: ribosomal RNA, 1395 nt
Filed under: Pseudacidovorax intermedius
Lineage: Bacteria; Pseudomonadati; Pseudomonadota; Betaproteobacteria; Burkholderiales; Comamonadaceae
Description: bacterial SSU rRNA
Source: RNAcentral
UGCAAGUCGAACGGUAACAGGCCGCAUAGGUGCUGUACGUAUGCUGGCGAACGGGUGAGUAAUACAUCGUGAACGUGCCCGAUCGUGGGGGAUAACGCAGCGAAAGCUGUGCUAAUACCGCAUACGAUCUACGGAUGAAAGCGGGGGAUCGCAAGACCUCGCGCGGACGGAGCGGCCGAUGGCAGAUUAGGUAGUUGGUGGGGUAAAGGCCUACCAAGCCGACGAUCUGUAGCUGGUCUGAGAGGACGACCAGCCACACUGGGACUGAGACACGGCCCAGACUCCUACGGGAGGCAGCAGUGGGGAAUUUUGGACAAUGGGCGCAAGUCCUGAUCCAGCCAUGCCGCGUGCAGGAUGAAGGCCUUCGGGWUGUAAACUGCUUUUGUACGGAACGAARAGGUUUCUUUUAAUACAGKGAACUGAUGACGGUACCGUAAGAAUAAGCACCGGCUAACUACKUGCCAGCAGCCGCGGUAAUACGUAGRGUGCGAGCGUUAAUCGGAAUUACUGRGCGUAAAGCGUGCGCAGGCGGUGAUGUAAGACAGAGGUGAMAUCCCCGRGCUCAACCUGGGAACUGCCUUUGUGACUGCAUCGCUGGAGUGCGGCAGAGGGGGAUGGAAUUCCGCGUGUAGCAGUGAAAUGCGUAGAUAUGCGGAGGAACACCGAUGGCGAAGGCAAUCCCCUGRGCCUGCACUGACGCUCAUGCACGAMAGCGUGGGGAGCARACAGGAUUAGAUACCCUGGUAGUCCACGCCCUAAACGAUGUCAACUGGUUGUUGGGAAUUAGUUUUCUCAGUAACGAAGCUAACGCGUGAAGUUGACCGCCUGGGGAGUACGGCCGCAAGGUUGAAACUCAMAGGAAUUGACGGGGACCCGCACAAGCRGUGGAUGAUGUGGUUUAAUUCGAUGCAACGCGAAAAACCUUACCCACCUUUGACAUGUACGGAAUCCUUUAGAGAUAGAGGAGUGCUCGAAAGAGAGCCGUAACACAGGUGCUGCAUGGCUGUCGUCAGCUCGUGUCGUGAGAUGUUGGGUUAAGUCCCGCMACRAGCGCAACCCUUGCCAUUAGUUGCUACGAAAGGGCACUCUAAUGGGACUGCCGGUGACAAACCGGAGGAAGGUGGGGAUGACGUCAAGUCCUCAUGGCCCUUAUAGGUGGGGCUACACACGUCAUACAAUGGCUGGUACAAAGGGUUGCCAACCCGCGAGGGGGAGCUAAUCCCAUAAAGCCAGUCGUAGUCCGGAUCGCAGUCUGCAACUCGACUGCGUGAAGUCGGAAUCGCUAGUAAUCGUGGAUCAGCAUGUCACGGUGAAUACGUUCCCGGGUCUUGUACACACCGCCCGUCACACCAUGGGAGCGGGUCUGCCAGAAGUAGGUAGCCUAACCGUAAGGAG